Molecule: ribosomal RNA, 206 nt
Filed under: uncultured bacterium
Lineage: Bacteria
Description: partial 16S ribosomal RNA
Rfam family: Bacterial small subunit ribosomal RNA
Source: RNAcentral
CUCGUAGGUGGCCAACUAAGUCAGACGUGAAAUCCCUCAGCUUAACUGGGGAACUGCGUCUGAUACUGGAUGGCUUGAGUUUGGGAGAGGGAUGCGGAAUUCCAGGUGUAGCGGUGAAAUGCGUAGAUAUCUGGAGGAACACCGGUGGCGAAGGCGGCAUCCUGGACCAACACUGACACUGAGGAGCGAAAGCCAGGGAGCAAACG